RNAcentral lists this ribosomal RNA (532 nucleotides) under uncultured bacterium. RNAcentral's name for it is "bacterial SSU rRNA". It matches the Rfam family "Bacterial small subunit ribosomal RNA", at positions 355 to 896 of the family's 1533-position model. The record is from RNAcentral.
UGGGGAAUAUUGCACAAUGGGCGCAAGCCUGAUGCAGCGACGCCGCGUGAGGGAUGACGGCCUUCGGGUUGUAAACCUCUGUUAGCAGGGAAGAAGAGAGAUUGACGGUACCUGCAGAGAAAGCGCCGGCUAACUACGUGCCAGCAGCCGCGGUAAUACGUAGGGCGCGAGCGUUGUCCGGAAUUAUUGGGCGUAAAGAGCUUGUAGGCGGUUUGUCGCGUCUGCUGUGAAAGGCCGGAGCUUAACUCCGUGUAUUGCAGUGGGUACGGGCAGACUAGAGUGCAGUAGGGGAGACUGGAAUUCCUGGUGUAGCGGUGGAAUGCGCAGAUAUCAGGAGGAACACCGAUGGCGAAGGCAGGUCUCUGGGCUGUAACUGACGCUGAGAAGCGAAAGCAUGGGGAGCGAACAGGAUUAGAUACCCUGGUAGUCCAUGCCGUAAACGUUGGGCACUAGGUGUGGGGGACAUUCCACGUUUUCCGCGCCGUAGCUAACGCAUUAAGUGCCCCGCCGGGGGAGUACGGCCGCAAGGCUA